Molecule: long non-coding RNA, 557 nt
Filed under: Selaginella moellendorffii
Lineage: Eukaryota; Viridiplantae; Streptophyta; Lycopodiopsida; Selaginellales; Selaginellaceae
Description: long non-coding RNA (SMOE_LNC002015)
Source: RNAcentral
UCUCUUCUUCAGCGAUUCUACAAUCCAAUUUCAGGUACUUUCUUAAAUCACCUCUUGAAGCUCUCUGAGAAAAAACGAAAAACACAAAAUAUCAGGAGAAAUACGACUAGAUGGAAGGAAUAUAGCGCACCUACAACUCAAAUGGUUGAGAAAGAACAUUGGCGUGGUAGCACAAGAACCCGUCCUGUUUGCCACCAGCAUAAAAGAAAACAUCAGACUUGGAAAGAUAGAUGCAACUGAUGAAGAAAUUGAAGCUGCUGCUACAGCAUCAAAUGCAAUCGGAUUUAUCAUGCAGCUGCCUGAACGUUUUGAGACUCAGGUAAGAGAGAAGCUAAAUACCUGUUGAUGUUCUGAAGAAUCGUCGGCGGGAAACUAGGUUGGAUAUAGUACUGCGCAGCUCUCUGGCGGUCAAAAGCAACGAAUUGCAUUAGCGAGGAUGAUCGUUAAGAAUCCUACCAUUUUGCUGCUCGACGAAGCAACAAGUGCACUGGAUAUCGAAUCGGAGCAUAAGGUGAAGGACGCUCUUGACGCUGUCAUGGUGAAUCGCACGGCGAUAA